GUUAGGGUGGCAGAGCCAGGUACAUGCACAAGGCCUAAAAUCUUCACCACAGAAGUUCAAAUCUUCUCCCUAACC
Molecule: transfer RNA, 75 nt
Filed under: Sceloporus graciosus (sagebrush lizard)
Lineage: Eukaryota; Metazoa; Chordata; Lepidosauria; Squamata; Phrynosomatidae
Description: tRNA-Leu
Rfam family: tRNA
About the family: Transfer RNA (tRNA) molecules are approximately 80 nucleotides in length. Their secondary structure includes four short double-helical elements and three loops (D, anti-codon, and T loops). Further hydrogen bonds mediate the characteristic L-shaped molecular structure. tRNAs have two regions of fundamental functional importance: the anti-codon, which is responsible for specific mRNA codon recognition, and the 3' end, to which the tRNAs corresponding amino acid is attached (by aminoacyl-tRNA synthetases). tRNAs cope with the degeneracy of the genetic code in two manners: having more than one tRNA (with a specific anti-codon) for a particular amino acid; and 'wobble' base-pairing, i.e. permitting non-standard base-pairing at the 3rd anti-codon position.
Source: RNAcentral